RNAcentral lists this ribosomal RNA (545 nucleotides) under uncultured bacterium. RNAcentral's name for it is "bacterial SSU rRNA". It matches the Rfam family "Bacterial small subunit ribosomal RNA", at positions 777 to 1314 of the family's 1533-position model. The record is from RNAcentral.
AAUAGAUACCCCGGUAGUCCACGCCGUAAACGGUGGGCACUAGGUGUGGGCAGCAUUCCACGUUGUCCGUGCCGUAGCUAACGCAUUAAGUGCCCCGCCUGGGGAGUACGGCCGCAAGGCUAAAACUCAAAGGGAAUUGACGGGGGCCCGCACAAGCGGCGGAGCAUGUGGCUUAAUUCGACGCAACGCGAAGAACCUUACCAAGGCUUGACAUACACCGGAAACAUCCAGAGAUGGGUGCCCCCUUGUGGUCGGUGUACAGGUGGUGCAUGGCUGUCGUCAGCUCGUGUCGUGAGAUGUUGGGUUAAGUCCCGCAACGAGCGCAACCCUUGUCCCGUGUUGCCAGCAGGCCCUUGUGGUGCUGGGGACUCACGGGAGACCGCCGGGGUCAACUCGGAGGAAGGUGGGGACGACGUCAAGUCAUCAUGCCCCUUAUGUCUUGGGCUGCACACGUGCUACAAUGGCCGGUACAAAGAGCUGCGAUACCGUGAGGUGGAGCGAAUCUCAAAAAGCCGGUCUCAGUUCGGAUUGGGGUCUGCUAACCG